This 470-nucleotide ribosomal RNA is filed under the name uncultured Microbacterium sp. Its description in RNAcentral is "bacterial SSU rRNA". It matches the Rfam family "Bacterial small subunit ribosomal RNA", at positions 30 to 515 of the family's 1533-position model. The record is from RNAcentral. Lineage: Bacteria; Bacillati; Actinomycetota; Actinomycetes; Micrococcales; Microbacteriaceae.
UGAACGCUGGCGGCGUGCUUAACACAUGCAAGUCGAACGGUGAACACGGAGCUUGCUCUGUGGGAUCAGUGGCGAACGGGUGAGUAACACGCGAGCAACCUGCCCCUGACUCUGGGAUAAGCGCUGGAAACGGCGUCUAAUACUGGAUAUGUGACGUGACCGCAUGGUCUGCGUCUGGAAAGAAUUUCGGUUGGGGAUGGGCUCGCGGCCUAUCAGCUUGUUGGUGAGGUAAUGGCUCACCAAGGCGUCGACGGGUAGCCGGCCUGAGAGGGUGACCGGCCACACUGGGACUGAGACACGGCCCAGACUCCUACGGGAGGCAGCAGUGGGGAAUAUUGCACAAUGGGCGCAAGCCUGAUGCAGCAACGCCGCGUGAGGGACGACGGCCUCGGUUGUAACCGUCUUUAGUCAGGAAGAAGCGAAGUGACGGUACCUGCAGAAAGACGCCGGCGUAACUACGUGCCAGCAGC